Hordeum vulgare subsp. vulgare (domesticated barley) is the source of this 4682-nucleotide long non-coding RNA. RefSeq lists it as uncharacterized. The transcript has 2 exons. The record is from RefSeq and is a predicted model, not a curated record. Lineage: Eukaryota; Viridiplantae; Streptophyta; Magnoliopsida; Poales; Poaceae.
AAGUAACCCCACAGAUCUCCACAUAAUCCUAGCAACAGGGCAGGUAAAGAAAAGAUGUUGUGAGGUUUCCCUUUCACGACAAAAUUCCCUUUCGCGACAAAAGGAGCAUGUGGGAUUCCCGGGCCAAUUUCUUUUCAUCACAUGCCUAGUCAUAGCAUCUUGUGACAGUUUCCACAUGAAUAUUUUAUUUUUUAGAGGUAAUUUUGCUUUCCAGAUCCACUUAUAGUGGCAGCCAUGAAGUGGUUUUUCCAACCACUUAUACAUGGAUUUGGUAGAGAAUUUGCCAUCACUAGUCAGACCCCACAUCACUCUAUCACUAUUCUGAGUGACGGUAAUUCUAGGGAUAGUAUUAUGCAUCUCACUUCAUUGAACGCUAAGCUCCGGAUUUAACCUUCUCCUAAAGAAGGAAUUAUCAUCCACUGGGUACAAUUUCUUCAAAGUGCAGUCAGGUUCAUUGCAUAUAUCAAACAACAAAGAGAACUGCUCCUUGAACGGAGGAAGCCCGUUAAUUGAAUCCUGCCACACUGUGGCAAUAUUCCCCGACUCAAUGUUAAUUUUCUUCCCCACCAAAUAGUAUUCCUUGACCUUUAAAAUUGCCUUCCAGCAUGGUGAAUCAGAGAAUUUUCUUCCCCACCAAAUAGUAUUCAUUGACCUUUAAAAUUGCCUUCCAGCAUGGUGAAUCAGAGAAUCUGGGCUCAACAGUAGCCACAGACUUAUUACGGAGAUAUCUAGCUUUGAUAAUAUCUUGCGAGACCCCCUUCCGCGUCUCCAAUUUCCACCACCAUUUAACUAUCAAACCGAUAUUCUGUUUACGAAGGUCUUUGACCCCUAGACCCCCUUUAUUUUUGGAUCUACAAACCCUGCUCCAUUUGACCAAAUGAUAUCUCCUCUUCUUAUUGCUACCUUGCCGUCUAUGUUUAUUUAGCUUUUCAAUGAAUGAUUUAUUCAUGAGCCACAUAAACAUGUGGUAAAUGGAGAUCUGAGUGAUAACAGAUUCAAGGAGUGUGAGCCUGCCUCCCAUAAAAGCAGCAUUACCUAUCCAGGCCUCAAACCAUUUCAUAUAUCUCUCCACUAUAAAUUCCCAGUCAGAAUUCUUCAGCGUGGUAUAGCUAACACGCAUACCAAGAUACUUGAUUGGGAAGUUGCCAAUAUCACAAUUGAACAGAUCAGCAUAUGUUUUCACCACAUUAUUAUCACCCCCUAUAGUGAAAAUUUCACUUUUCUGAUAGUUAACUUUAAGUCCCGACAUCAUCUCAAGAAUAUAAAGCAGUAACUACAGGUUAACUGCCUUCUCCACAUCAUGUUCUAUGCAGAUGAUCGUGUCAUCUGCAUACUGCAGAACAGCAAUCCCAUCAGGGAUGAGAUCUGAAGCAAGCCCUACUAGCAGCUUGUUUUGAUUAGCAUUCUUAAUCAUCUUCGAGAGGCACUCCGCAGCCAAAUUGAAUAAGAAUGGAGAGUGGGGGUCACCCUGCCGCACCCCUUUGGCACUUUGGAAGUAUGGACCCACACAGUUAUUCAACUUAAUACUGACUGUACCAUUAUACAAGAUCUGUUUAAUCCAGCCACACCAUGUUUAAUUGAAGCCUCUCAUCUUGUGGCAUUCCAAAAGGGAAUCCAAAUUGACCUUGUCAUAGGCUUUCUCAAAGUCAAGUUUCACCACAAUGCCAACCUUUUGUUUAACAUGAGUAUAGUUAAGUAUCUCAUGUAAGGCUACGAUCCCAUCCAUGAUAUUUCUACCUUUGAUGAAUGUGUUUUGUGUCGAACUGAUCAAGAUAUCAAAAACAACAGCCGCACGACGGUCCAACACUUUAGUAAUAAAUUUGUAUGGACAUCUAAGAAGGCAAAUAGGCCUAAAUUGCUGAAUCCUAUCUGCACCCAAAACUUUGGGCAGCAAAGAAAUCACUCCAUAAUUGAGGCGUUUAACAUCGAGUGUUCCCUUUUGGAAGUGGUGGAACAAGGACAUAAUGUCAUCUUUUAUUAUCUCCCAACAGAUCUGAUAAAAUUCAACAGGAAUAUUAUCAGGACCCGGUGCUCUAUUAGUAGCCAUGUCAAACAAGGCGUUUUUUUUACCUCCGACUCCGUGAACUCAUGGCAAAGUAUUGCAUUAUCAGCCUCACUCAACUUCUCCUCCUCCGACCAGGUGUUGGGAUCUAAGUGGAACAUUUUGCCAAGGGCGGGGCCAAAGAGUUCUUUAUAGAAAUCAGUGGCAUGGGCAAUAAGCUCAUCAUUACCCUCAAUCACAACAUCUCCAACUUUGAGGGAAUGAAUUGUGUUUUUCCUCUUCUGCCCGUUAGCAAUUUUAUGAUAGUAAUCAGUGUUUAAAUCCCCCUUAAGCAACCACCUCUCAUGUGAUUGCUGCAACCAGAAAAUUUCUUCAUUCACCAACAACUCGUGUAACUCAAAAUUGACAUCCACCUUCUUGUUAUACAGCUCACGUGGUAGAGGUCCAUCAUCCUCCAGAAGAGCCAACUCAUCUCUGAGUUCCUCCUUUCUUUUCUUAUCACACCCAAUCUUAUCUGAACACCAUCCUUUAAAGUAGGAUUUUAUCCUUUUCAACUUAAUAUUCAGGAUGUCUAUGGGAUCAACAUAUCACACUGAUCUGGUCCAAAUCUUGUUAACAGUAGGUAAGAAUUUAUCGUCUUUGAUCCAGGAGAGAUCAAAGCGGAAUUUACGAGUUUUAGGAGUAUAUCUCCCUUCCUCGCCCGAGUACAGUAACAAGGGGUUGUGAUCAGCGAUUUCGCGAACUAGUUUCCUAACUGAAACCAAAGAAAAUAGGUCUUCCCAUGUCUCAGACAUCAGGAUAUGGUCAAGUUUUUCUAAGGUAGGAUGGGUCUGCUUAUUAGUCCAGGUGUAUUUACCCCCGCUGACAUGAAUUUCUCUCAAGGCCAGAGUGUUAAUGACCGAGUUGAACAGGUCAGAAGAUUUGCGGUUCGAAAACUUUUUGUUUCUCUCGCCGGAGUGUCUGAGAAUUUAUACAUAUGAAUGUGCAGUUAACCUACAAUUUAGUAAUGCUGCGGUAAGAACCAUUUACCUCUGAGAGUUAGCAAAUGAGCUUUUUUUUCCUCCCCAAAGUAGGUCAUUAGCUUCAGAGAUUCUGAUUUUUGUUCGCCACUUCAUGUUGAAUUUGGUUGACAGUAAAAAUGUACACACAUCACUAUUUACCAUAUAUGGUGAUACUUGCGCAUUUUUGCUUUAGACACCUCUUGCAGCUGCAUCGCAUCAUUUGCCUGAACUUUUUCUGAACAGUCUAUUUAAUGUUAAAUUGGCGAAAGGCCUCAACCAGAUAGGCUGACCUAUGGGCACAUCAAGUUUAAGCUCACCAUGGACAGGUCAUAGCGUGCCGUUUGCCAAUACAUGCUCUGAAUUUGUAAACAUCCUCUCUCUCGUUCAGCGCAUAGCAGGCAUUUUCUUGCGGACCUCUCUUACCGUGACAACUACCAACAAACCCAUCAGGACUAGUGAUCUGCAGAAGGUUGAUGUGCAACAUGACCAUGGCAUCCUUCUCAUGCCACACUCCCUGGUGAGUUCAAGUACGUAUGGUCAUGACUCUGUCAUUCAUUGUUUCCGAAACAUACUUCCAGUUCACGCUAUAUAUAUGAUGUGAUCCAGUGGGUUUGUGACAGCUAAGUAUGAUUGGAUUUUCUGUCUUGAUGCAAGAUGACAUGGUCAUGGACCCAAGUUAUCAAUCACGUUUGGUCAUUUUGUUUAGGUUUUGAUAAGAAUCAUUUGGAGAAAGACUAGAAACGAAUUACUGAUUUAUAGCUAGUUACCACGGUGGAAAAACUCAGCAUGGAUUGUGGCCUCCCUGUGAAUGCCACAAUCAGCCAGGGUCCAUGGAUCCUGCAGGCAUUUGCCACCGUACACUAACCCACAAGAGCCCUUUAGCUUCCUCCUCGCCUGGACCUUACUCCUGACAGUAGCUACCGUGUCGGAGCUUGCGACGUCAAGGGUGAUGGUCUCACCUGCGAAGAUCCUGACAAAGAUCUGCAUCUUCUCCACCGAUGGCGGCGAACCUGUUCUUCUUUUCGAAGGUGGAAGUUGUUGUGCAGCUUCCUGAACAAACCUCCCCUUGAACGCAUCCGUCAGCGCGGUCUUUGAGUUGAUCACCGCUUGCAGUAGCGUGACAGCCUGCAAUGGAUUGACACACACUAUUAUUCAGAACGAACCAGUAUAAUAAGACAACUGCCGGUGCAUGCACUAUAUGUAGACUUGCCUCUUGUUUGCUGAUAGCAAUGUCCAUCUCCAUCAGGUCUCUCUUGUACCAGUGCUUCAGCAGUGACACGGCAGAAGCCUGAUAUAUACGCAGGAGCAGCCUAUCUUCAACAGGGCAAGGCUCGGAUCCAGCAGCGCCUUUAUGUCGCCGAAGCAGGGUCCCAUCAAGAAUCCAGCAGUGUCUAGAUCGGCGGCGCUGCUGUAAAGAUUGUUGAAACUGCCGCACAGAUGACGGGUGCCGGCCAGGUUCUUGAGGAUGCAUCCCAUCGGGUAGGUCAGGAAGGAGGAGAAGGUCCACGAACUCGUGCUUGCACUCUGCAUACAUGAUCUUCCUGUCCUUCCUGUCGUAGAAAAGCUUGAUGAAAACGUGCGGAUGUGAUUCGGAACCUGUAGGAUCAUUGGUUUCUUGAUGAUGCCGAAGCUUGUGAAUCGUCAGUAGGAGCUCUGAGAGUAAUGAUCUUUUUGCCAAA